CCCGGUGUUCAGCCACCGGUAGCCUAACUACGGUGCGGGGUUGGUAACGACCUCGUGCUAAGCGUACUGACAACGUAGCCACCUUACGGGGUACACUAACUCCGUGAGGAGUCUAGUGUGAUACUGGGAGUCGCAACCUGGUUGAGGCG
This 149-nucleotide non-coding RNA is filed under the name Methylocaldum szegediense. The record is from RNAcentral. Lineage: Bacteria; Pseudomonadati; Pseudomonadota; Gammaproteobacteria; Methylococcales; Methylococcaceae.